This 260-nucleotide ribosomal RNA is filed under the name uncultured bacterium. RNAcentral's name for it is "partial 16S ribosomal RNA". It matches the Rfam family "Bacterial small subunit ribosomal RNA", at positions 75 to 334 of the family's 1533-position model. The record is from RNAcentral.
CCUAGCAAUAGGUUGAUGGCGACCGGCGCACGGGUGUGUAACACGUAUCCAACCUACCGGUUAUUCCGGGAUAGCCUUUCGAAAGAAAGAUUAAUACCGGAUAGUAUAACGAGAAGGCAUCUUCUUGUUAUUAAAGAAUUUCGAUAACCGAUGGGGAUGCGUUCCAUUAGUUUGUUGGCGGGGUAACGGCCCACCAAGACAUCGAUGGAUAGGGGUUCUGAGAGGAAGGUCCCCCACAUUGGAACUGAGACACGGUCCAA